GUUUGCUUUGAUGUUUUCCUCUUCUUUCCUGUGUGAAUAUCAUUAAUGCUUCCUACCAAUUAAAAUCUAUUUUUGCAUAUGGUAGCAUCUCCCUUUGAUCAGGAGGGCUCCUUCCAAGAAUAUCUAGUUUCAUAUAGUUUUAAUCGACGAUUAUUCUUAUCCAUUUAUCCUUUAUCCUUCUUUGGAUGCUUUAGUGGAGCCACU
RNAcentral lists this unclassified non-coding RNA (204 nucleotides) under Hevea brasiliensis (rubber tree). The record is from RNAcentral. Lineage: Eukaryota; Viridiplantae; Streptophyta; Magnoliopsida; Malpighiales; Euphorbiaceae.